Molecule: ribosomal RNA, 122 nt
Organism: Pteropus vampyrus (large flying fox)
Lineage: Eukaryota; Metazoa; Chordata; Mammalia; Chiroptera; Pteropodidae
Source: Ensembl
CCCUGUAGUCUACAGACUACCCUGAACAAGACUGAUCUCAUCUAAUCUAGGAAACUAAGCAGGGUCGGGCCUGAUAAGUACUUGGAUGGGAGACCACCUAAGACGACUAGAUGCUAUAGGCA